GACGAACGCUGGCGGCGUGCUUAACACAUGCAAGUCGAACGGAAAGGCCCUGCUUGCAGGGUACUCGAGUGGCGAACGGGUGAGUAACACGUGUGUGUUCUGCCCUGCACUCCGGGAUAUGCCUGGGGAACUGGGUCUAAUACCGGAUAGGAGCCCUCUUUCGUGUGGUGGUUGGAAAGUUUUUUUGGUGUAGGUUGAGUCCGCGGCCUAUCAGCUUGUUGGUGGGGUAAUGGCCUACAAAGGCGGCGCCGGUUAGCCGGCCUGCGGGGGUGGGCGGCCACAUGGGGACGGGGUAACGGCCCAGACUCUAACGGGAGGCAGCGGUGGGGAAUAUGGAACAAGGGGGGCAAGCCUGAGGAGGCAAGGCCGCUGGGGGGAGAACGGCCUUCGGGUGGUAAACGCCUUUCGCUGGGAACGAAGGUGAUUGUGACGGUACCUAGAUGAGAAGCACCGUCUAACUACG
This 463-nucleotide ribosomal RNA is filed under the name uncultured bacterium. Its description in RNAcentral is "partial 16S ribosomal RNA". It matches the Rfam family "Bacterial small subunit ribosomal RNA", at positions 28 to 505 of the family's 1533-position model. The record is from RNAcentral.